GAUGAACGCUGGCGGCGUGCCUAAUACAUGCAAGUCGAGCGAACAGACGAGGAACUUGUUCCUCUGACGUUACCGACGGACGGGUGAGCAAACCGUGGAUAACCUACCUAUAAGACUGGGAUACCCUCGGGAAAACGGAGCUAAUACCGGAUAAUAUAUCGUACAGAAUGGUUAAAUAGUGUAAGACGAUUUUGAUAUUACUUAUAGAUUGAUCCGGGCUUCAUUCGCUAUAUGGUAAGGUAACGGUGUACCAAGACAACGAUGCGUAGCCGACCCGAGAGGGAGAUCGGCCACACUGGAAUGGAGACACGGUCCAGACUCCUACGGGAGGCAGCAGUAGGGAAUCUUCCGCGAUGGGCGAAAGCCUGACGGAGGAACGCCGCGGGAGUGAUGAAGGUCUUCGGGUCGUAAGACUCUGUUAGUAGGGAAGAACAAAUGUGUAUGUAACUAUGCACAUCUUGACGGUACCUAAUCAGAAAGGCACGGCUAACUACGUG
Molecule: ribosomal RNA, 497 nt
Filed under: uncultured bacterium
Lineage: Bacteria
Description: partial 16S ribosomal RNA
Rfam family: Bacterial small subunit ribosomal RNA
Source: RNAcentral